Talpa occidentalis (Iberian mole) is the source of this 616-nucleotide long non-coding RNA. RefSeq lists it as uncharacterized. The transcript is spliced from 6 exons. The record is from RefSeq and is a predicted model, not a curated record. Lineage: Eukaryota; Metazoa; Chordata; Mammalia; Eulipotyphla; Talpidae.
CUCCAGUGAGGCGGUGUUGGCAACUGCAGUCGCAGCUUCCUGGCUGCCUGAUCUGUUGGAGGAGCGCUGCAUCCCCGUUUCCCAGGGACCCGGCAGCACGCUGCUGUCACAGCAAGUGGCUGACAGCCACUUCUUCCCCACUGCUUCCCCAGUCCUGACAGGAGGGUAUCCUCUUGCAGAAGCAGGUCAGCCUGGGGAGAAGGCUGCUCCGUGCUGAAGUGCCACUUUUGUUUGGAGAUGGUUGCUGAAAUGUAAACUGAAUGAUCUCAACUUCAGUCUGGAGUUAAGCAGUCACGUGCCUUUCUCUGAAAUCAUUCCUGGCCCCAGACAAGAUCACUCCAGGUAGCUGUCUCACAGCAACAAUCUAUUGAUUCUCACUGCACCGGGUGAAGAAGAAACACUGGAUCAGUAUAGGAUUUCUCCCCUCAGGUGCAGUCUCUAUUACCUGCCUUCUCUGCUCUCCCAUUCUCCUUCCCUCCCACACCUGAAUGGAUCUAAGUUCUGCUUGCAGGACUCCAGGAUCAUCUGCCGAAAAUGUCCUUGGUGCUGGUGAAGAUUAUCAAGAAGCACCUUUCUAAUCCCAGAGUAAAGCCUAAUCCAAGUCUUAAAAUCAUAC